UGGAUUUGACAUCUUGGGAAUCUCCUUGAAAGAGGAGAGUGCCCUUCGGGGAGCCCGAUGAC
RNAcentral lists this ribosomal RNA (62 nucleotides) under uncultured organism. RNAcentral's name for it is "partial 16S ribosomal RNA". The record is from RNAcentral.